Non-coding RNA from Meleagris gallopavo (turkey), 559 nucleotides. The record is from RefSeq and is a predicted model, not a curated record. Lineage: Eukaryota; Metazoa; Chordata; Aves; Galliformes; Phasianidae.
UUUUUGCUUUGUGGCUUGUAGAUGAAAGUUGGAGGCGUGUGAUGUUCUUUUGCUAAAUUAAAGAGGAAAGAUAAGAAGAAGUUACUGGGAAAGAAGACAGAGUCUAUAAGCUCUGGGAUUUUACUAGUUUGCCUUCAGCCAGAAGCAAGGUUUCUGCACUACAGUCCUGCUGACUCCAACAUGCUGCUGAAAUGUGCUUCCCUACUGAACACUGCAGUUCUAUAAGACCCUGAGCAGCUGCCCCACCACGCACAGAUCCACUCCUCGCACCGAGGGGUAAGUUACACUUCCCUUUAAUCAUUCCACCACGCUCUGGGUGGAAACAGAAAAAUCCGAACAGAUUUUUACCUUGCAAGAUGACAACAAGAAGCAGUAAGAGCCACUUUGCUUUUUUCAAUGUUUUUUUUUUCCCCUUCUUUACCUUUCAUAUUACAUUUGACGCUACGGUACCUUAAAGGUACAUUUCUACUUCUAUCUCAGCAUUACCCAGCACAUUGUAAUUUCCCAUGCUAACUCACUAACCAGAUUUGCAAUUAAAAGCGCUGAAGAAAAAAAAAAA